Molecule: ribosomal RNA, 1051 nt
Filed under: uncultured Thermotogales bacterium
Lineage: Bacteria; Thermotogati; Thermotogota; Thermotogae; Thermotogales
Description: bacterial SSU rRNA
Rfam family: Bacterial small subunit ribosomal RNA
Source: RNAcentral
AGACACGGGCCCAACUCCUACGGGAGGCAGCAGUGGGGAAUCUUGGACAAUGGGCGAAAGCCUGACGCAGCGACGCCGCGUGGGGGAAGAAGGCCUUAGGGUUGUAAACUCCUUUUGUCGGGGAAAAAGUACUGACGGUACCGCACGAAGAAGCCCCGGCUAACUACGUGCCAGCAGCCGCGGUAAUACGUAGGGGGCGAGCGUUACCCGGAAUCACUGGGCGUAAAGGGUGCGUAGGCGGCCGAGUGUGUCUGGCGUUAAAAUCCACGGCUCAACUGUGGGUAUGCGCUGGAAACUGCUUGGCUUGAGUGCAGCAGAGGCAGACGGAACUGCUGGUGUAGAGGUGAAAUUCGUAGAUAUCAGCAGGAACGCCGGUGGAGAAGUCGGUCUGCUGGGCUGUAACUGACGCUGAGGCACGAAAGCUAGGGAGCAAACCGGAUUAGAUACCCGGGUAGUCCUAGCCGUAAACGAUGCUCACUUGGUGUGGGGGCGAAGAGUCUCCGUGCUGAAGCUAACGCGUUAAGUGAGCCGCCUGGGGAGUAUGCCCGCAAGGGUGAAACUCAAAGGAAUUGACGGGGGCCCGCACAAGCAGUGGAGCGUGUGGUUUAAUUGGAGGCUAAGCCAAGAACCUUACCAGGGCUUGACAUGCUGGUGGUACCGAGCCGAGAGGUGAGGGACGCUGCCGAAAGGCAGUGAGCCAGCACAGGUGGUGCACGGUCGUCGUCAGCUCGUGCCGUGAGGUGUUGGGUUAAGUCCCGCAACGAGCGCAACCCCUGCCCUUAGUUGCCAGCACUUAGGGUGGGCACUCUAAGGGGACUGCCGGCGACGAGCCGGAGGAAGGAGGGGAUGACGUCAGAUACUCGUGCCCCUUAUGUCCUGGGCGACACACGCGCUACAAUGGGAUGGACAGCGGGAAGCGAGGCAGCGAUGCUGAGCAAAGCCCUUAAACCAUUCCCCAGUUCAGAUUGUGGGCUGAAACCCGCCCACAUGAAGCCGGAAUUGCUAGUAAUCGCGGAUCAGCCACGCCGCGGUGAAUACGUUCCCGGGCCUU